Molecule: ribosomal RNA, 1524 nt
Filed under: uncultured bacterium
Lineage: Bacteria
Description: 16S ribosomal RNA
Rfam family: Bacterial small subunit ribosomal RNA
Source: RNAcentral
UUAGAGUUUGAUCCUGGCUCAGGACGAACGCUAUGCAGGCGUGCUAAUGUAUGCAAUGUCGAGCGGGGGGCCUCCUUCGGGCGGUUUCCUAGGCGGCGAACGGUUGAGUAACAGCGUAGGCAACCUGCCCCAGAGGGGGGGAUAACUCGCGGAAACGCGGGACUAAUACCGCAUGUGGCCCGAGGUCGCCUGACUUCGGUGCUAAAGGAGCAAUCCGCUCUGGGAGGGGCCUGCGGCCUAUCAGCUUGUUGGCGAGGUAACGGCUCACCAAGGCGACGACGGGUAGCUGGUCUGAGAGGAUGGUCAGCCAGACAGGGACUGAGACACGGCCCUGACUCCUUCGGGGGGCAGCAAUGAGGGAUAUUGCACAAUGGGGGAAACCCUGAUGCAGCGACGCCGCGUGGGUGAUGAAGUGCUUCGGCAUGUAAAGCCCUUUUCUCGGAGACGAUCAGGACGGUACCCGAGGAAGAAGCCCCGGCUAACUACGUGCCAGCAGCCGCGGUAAUACGUAGGGGGCGAGCGUUGUCCGGAUUACUGGGCGUAAAUGGACGUGUAGCGGACUCUAAUUUCCGGGGUGAAAUCCGGGGGCUUAACCCCCGAACGGCUGCCGGAAACUGGAAGCGCUUGAUUGUCUGGAAAGGGGAUGUGGAAUUCUCGGUUGUUACGGUGAAAAUGCGUUAGAGAUCGAGAAGGAACACCCGUUGGCGAAAGGCGGCUCCCUUGGCCGAACAACUGACGUUGAGACGCGAAAGCGUGGGGAGCGAACGGGAUUAGAUACCCCGGUAGUCCACGCCGUAACGAUGGUCACUAGGUGUGCGCGGUAUCGACCCCGCGUGUGCCGCAGCUAACGCAGUAAGUGACCCGCCUGGGGAGUACGGCCGCAAGGUUGAAACUCAAAGGAAUUGACGGGGGCCCGCACAAGCGGUGGAGCAUGUGGAUUAAUUCGUCAUUAACCGAAGAACCUUACCAGGGCUUGACAUCUGCGGAACUCUGGUGAAAGCUGGAGGUGCCCCGCAAGGGGAGCCGCAAGACAGGUGUUGCAUGGCUGUCGUCAGCUCGUGUCGUGAGAUGUUGGGUUAAGUCCCGCAACGAGCGCAACCCUCACGCGAUGUUGCCAGCGUCAAGUCGGGCACUCUUCGCGAACUGCCCGGGUAACCGGGAGGAAGGUGGGGAUGACGUCAAGUCAGCAUGGCCCGUACGUCCUGGGCUUCACACAUGCUACAAUGGGCGCGACAGAGGGCUGCAAACCCGCGAGGGGGAGCCAAUCCCACAAAAGCGUCCUCAGUUCGGAUUGCAGGCUGCAACUCGCCUGCAUGAAGGUGGAAUCGCUAGUAACCGCCGGUCAGCUAAACGGCGGUGAAUACGUUCCCGGGCCUUGUACACACCGCCCGUCACGUCACCUGAGUCUGCCGCACCCGAAGUCGCUGGCCCAACCGCAAGGGGGGAGGCGCCGAAGGUGUAGCCGGUAAGGGGGACGAAGUCGUACAAGGUAGCCGUAUCGGAAGGUGCGGCUGGAUCACCUCC